This 403-nucleotide ribosomal RNA is filed under the name uncultured bacterium. RNAcentral's name for it is "partial 16S ribosomal RNA". It matches the Rfam family "Bacterial small subunit ribosomal RNA", at positions 29 to 526 of the family's 1533-position model. The record is from RNAcentral.
AUUGAACGCUGGCGGCAGGCCUAACACAUGCAAGUCGAGUGAGCGGCGGACGGGUGAGUAAUGUAUGGGGACUGCCCGAUGGAGGGGGAGAACUACUGGGAACGGUGGCUACUACCGCAUACUAUCGGAUAACCCAUAUGGGAUUAGCUAGGAGGUGGGGUAAAGGCUCACGUGGGCGAGGAUCUCGAGCUGGACGGAGAGGAUGAUCAGCCACACUGGGACGGAGACAAGACCCAGAUGGCUUCGGAGGCAGCAGUGGGGAAUAUUGCACAAUGGGCGCAAGCCUGAUGCAUCCAUGCCGCGUGUAUGAAGAAGGACUUAGGGUUGUAAAGUAAUUUCAGCGGGGAGGCGUUACCCGCAGAAGAAGCACCGGCUAACUACGUGCCAGCAGCCGCGGUAAUAC